Long non-coding RNA from Alnus glutinosa, 1078 nucleotides. RefSeq lists it as uncharacterized. Lineage: Eukaryota; Viridiplantae; Streptophyta; Magnoliopsida; Fagales; Betulaceae. The record is from RefSeq and is a predicted model, not a curated record. The transcript is spliced from 2 exons.
UUUUAUAAAAAGAACUCACUACCCUAUGAAAUUUACGCACACCUCCGUCUUCUUCUUUCUUAUAUUUCUCUUCAUUUCUUUCUUCGAUCUUCCUUCCUUCCUUUCUCUUUUCUUCUUCUUUCUUCCAUCCGAAGCAGAGAGAGAGAGAGAGAGAUUCUGAGGUGGAGAGAGGGAUCGUGAGGGAGAGAGUUACAGAGAAGGAGAGACUCGAGAAGAGCCGAGGGAGAUCGGGAGAGCUGGGUAGUCGCCGGUGUCUAGAGGAGCGACGGUGAGUGAUUUCCGGCGGGGAGGAUGCGAUUUCCGGCAAAUCGACGGUGUUUCAUCGCCGUGAACCCAGAUAACGAGUUAAGAGACUGCGGAGAUAACUGUGAGUAUUCCACUCACUGAGAAUGAUACUGAGUCUUUUAAUAUGAUGAUAUAUGGGUUUGUUUGAUGGUAUGCAAUUGUUUAGGCAUAUGUGUAGGUAAGUGUUUUCUAGAAUACUUACUAUGAAUGUGGUUUGUUUGACUAUGUGAUUGGUUUGUUUGAUUAUGCAGUGAUGUUGACUAUAUUGUGAUCGGUAUGUGAUAUAAAUGGCAUUGCAUAUUAUACUGUCAUGAGAUAUGAAUCUGUUAAUAAUAAGAAUUGAAGGUUUGAGUCCUAACUGAUGAAUGAAUGAAUCAAAAUGAUGGUUAAAGUCCACGGUAACAAAAUGAGGGUUAAAGUCUCCGGUGUUCAUUAAAGGAAAGGAGAUGAUUACAGUCCACAGUAUGAAUAUAGAAGUGAUAAAAAGACUAUGCAUAUGAAUUCAUCAUACAUCAUGUUAUAGUAUUGUGUAUUGUUAAAUGUAUCAAUAUGUCGUAUUAUGGGAUGCAGUUGAUUCACUGUUCCGACAGUAUAACACCACAAUCAUAUUCAAGUUUAUGCAGGUCAAGACGAAGGACGGAGUCAUUAGAAUUGUUAGGUUUAAGAAUGAAACAUUUUAUUAUUAUUAAGUCCUGCAUGUGGCACAUAUGGUAUUUCUGAUUGUAUUUAUUGUAUUAGAACUAAUGGUUUGUAUUUUAAUAUAAUAAUUCAGUCAGCUCUGACAAGUUAUGUU